UUCUAAGCCUACACAUGCAAGUCUCAGCUCCCCAGUGAGGACGCCCUUUUACCUUUUCCAGGCUAAGGAGCCGGUAUCAGGCACUAAAUCUGCCCAUAACACCUAGUCCCACCACACCCCCAAGGGCCUUCAGCAGUGAUUAAUAUUGUUUAUAAGUGUUAACUUGACCCAGCUAUAGAAAAUAGAGCUGGCCAACUCGGUGCCAGCCGCCGCGGCUAAACCGCACGAGCUCAAAUUGAUAAUUGUCGGCGUUAAGCGUGAUUAAAGGCCCCACUAAUUAGAACUAAACCUAAACUCAGCUGUGAUAAGCUUGUUUUAAGAAACACAAAUACGAAAGUUGCUCUAAUCAACCCCUUGAAUACACGACAGUCGGGAAACAAACUGGGAUUAGAUACCCCACUAUGCCCCACCGUAAAAUAUAUAUUCACACUAACAAACGCCCGGGUAUUACGAGCCUCAGCUUAAAACCCAAAGGACUUGACGGUGUCCCAUCCAACUAGAGGAGCCUGUUCUAUAAUCGAUAACCCCCGAUACACCUAACCCCCCCUUGCCAAUCAGCCUGUAUACCUCCGUCGCAAACUUACCAUAUGAAUGCCAAUAGUAGGUUAAAUGGUUAAAUCGCCAACACGUCAGGUCAAGGUGCAGCUCAUGAUGGGGAAAGCAAUGGGCUACAAUUUCUAAAAUAGAGCACACGGAAUGCUGCAUGAAACACAGCCACGAAGGCGGAUUUAGUAGUAAAAAGAAAAUAAAGUGUCCUUUUUAAUAAGGCCCUGGGACGUGUACACACCGCCCGUCACCCUCUUCAACAGCACACAAUACGUUCCUGACAACUCUUGCACUUUAGAAGAGGCAAGUCGUAACAUGGUAAGUGUACCGGAAGGUGCACUUGGAUUUA
This 895-nucleotide non-coding RNA is filed under the name Limnonectes bannaensis (large-headed frog). Its description in RNAcentral is "partial 12S rRNA". It matches the Rfam family "Bacterial small subunit ribosomal RNA". Lineage: Eukaryota; Metazoa; Chordata; Amphibia; Anura; Dicroglossidae. The record is from RNAcentral.